CCAACUCAGUACGAGAGGAACCGUUGGUUCACAUAAUUGGUUCAUGCGGUUGCCUGACAAGGCAAUGCCGCGAAGCUACCAUGUGCAGGAUAACGGCUGAACGCCUCUAAGCCAGAAUCCAUGCUGGAAAGCGACGACGUGCGACCGAGCGACCGUCAGAAUAGGCACCGCCGUAGACACGGGACAUCACAACUCGGAGCUCGGGUCCGGAGAUCGAUUGUAGACGACUUUCUGCAGAUGGGGUAUUGUACGCUGGAGAGUAGACUCGUGCUACGAUCCGUUGAGAUUCA
This 290-nucleotide ribosomal RNA is filed under the name Hemiselmis rufescens. RNAcentral's name for it is "partial Eukaryotic large subunit ribosomal RNA". It matches the Rfam family "Eukaryotic large subunit ribosomal RNA", at positions 3024 to 3380 of the family's 3401-position model. The record is from RNAcentral. Lineage: Eukaryota; Cryptophyceae; Cryptomonadales; Hemiselmidaceae.